Long non-coding RNA from Caenorhabditis elegans, 209 nucleotides. Ensembl annotates it as ncRNA. Its record names the gene linc-80. NCBI's taxonomy places the organism in Eukaryota, Metazoa, Nematoda, Chromadorea, Rhabditida, Rhabditidae. The record is from Ensembl.
ACGAUAAGAAGGAGGACGAAAAGAAGGAGUAACUUCUGGAUAUCAACCGUUUCUACUCAUAUUCGCCAUCUCACUCGUAAUCACUUCGUAAAAAUGAAACUUGUUUACAUUUGAAUUUUGUGAUUUGAUUAAUCACUGUAUUGUUGUUCCAUGUAUAAGUGCCAAUUUUCUAUAAUGUUUUGGCUUUAUUUUAGUAAAACUGAAACCUG